This 494-nucleotide unclassified non-coding RNA is filed under the name Artemisia annua (sweet wormwood). Its description in RNAcentral is "partial external transcribed spacer". The stretch from base 429 to 494 matches the Rfam family "Eukaryotic small subunit ribosomal RNA", at positions 1 to 66 of the family's 1831-position model. Lineage: Eukaryota; Viridiplantae; Streptophyta; Magnoliopsida; Asterales; Asteraceae. The record is from RNAcentral.
UCGUAAAGGUGCAUGAGUGGUGUUUGGUUUGUUACGUGUGGUUGGCUGCGGCGUUUGCAACAACUUCCAUGCUUUCAGACCUCUUCAGUUGUGCGGCAAGGCUUGUAUCGCCUUGAGCGUAUUGUGGGUUUUCUGUGUUGGCUACCUAAUCAACGGUAUCGGUUGGAUUGAUCAAAGUUUGAUUUCGUCUUCCGUCGCAUUUGCGGCAUGAGGUGAACCUCGAUGCGGUCUCUUUGAUCCACCUCGUCGAAGCACGUGCUUUGACGUUGUGGCACAUUGAGCAUUGCUUGGUCUCUUGUAUACGGAACAUAUAGUGGGCAUGGAUCUAACGAUUCUCGUUUGCCCUCAUAUUAGCGUAACGCUUCUCUUACACGACUUGCUCCACGUUUUAGCUCGUACGGACGUGGUGCUAUGUCGAAGAGGAAUGCUACCUGGUUGAUCCUGCCAGUAGUCAUAUGCUUGUCUCAAAGAUUAAGCCAUGCAGGUGUAAGUAA